Non-coding RNA from Cinara cedri, 221 nucleotides. NCBI's taxonomy places the organism in Eukaryota, Metazoa, Arthropoda, Insecta, Hemiptera, Aphididae. The record is from the annotation of a GenBank genome assembly.
UGAGUUUUUCCUUGUAAUCUGGCUGACAUGUUUACAUUUCAAGAUUAAAUUACUCAAUAAAUCCUCAUAGUUAUCAUAUUUUUAAGCAAAAGGGUGAUUUAACCCCUCGCUCGCCUAACCUUUUCCCCUUGCGGUACAAGUGCACGACAUUACGCAAGGAGCGAAGUUGGAAGAGAGUAUGAAAAAAAUGUAGGUAAGGUGGCGGGAAAAAUAGUUGAAGC